CAGGCCUAACACAUGCAAGUCGAGCGGGGGAAGGUAGCUUGCUACCGGACCUAGUGGCGGACGGGUGAGUAAUGCUUAGGAAUCUGCCUAUUAGUGGGGGACAACAUCUCGAAAGGGAUGCUAAUACCGCAUACGUCCUACGGGAGAAAGCAGGGGAUCUUCGGACCUUGCGCUAAUAGAUGAGCCUAAGUCGGAUUAGCUAGUUGGUGGGGUAAAGGCCUACCAAGGCGACGAUCUGUAGCGGGUCUGAGAGGAUGAUCCGCCACACUGGGACUGAGACACGGCCCAGACUCCUACGGGAGGCAGCAGUGGGGAAUAUUGGACAAUGGGGGGAACCCUGAUCCAGCCAUGCCGCGUGUGUGAAGAAGGCCUUAUGGUUGUAAAGCACUUUAAGCGAGGAGGAGGCUACUUUAGUUAAUACCUAGAGAUAGUGGACGUUACUCGCAGAAUAAGCACCGGCUAACUCUGUGCCAGCAGCCGCGGUAAU
Molecule: ribosomal RNA, 487 nt
Filed under: uncultured bacterium
Lineage: Bacteria
Description: bacterial SSU rRNA
Rfam family: Bacterial small subunit ribosomal RNA
Source: RNAcentral